AGUCAUGUUGCUCAGUCGGUAGAGUAUGGCACUGGAAACGCCAAGGAUUGUGGGUUGGAUUCCCGCUUGGACUC
RNAcentral lists this transfer RNA (74 nucleotides) under Salmo salar (Atlantic salmon). It matches the Rfam family "tRNA". From Rfam's summary of the family: Transfer RNA (tRNA) molecules are approximately 80 nucleotides in length. Their secondary structure includes four short double-helical elements and three loops (D, anti-codon, and T loops). Further hydrogen bonds mediate the characteristic L-shaped molecular structure. tRNAs have two regions of fundamental functional importance: the anti-codon, which is responsible for specific mRNA codon recognition, and the 3' end, to which the tRNAs corresponding amino acid is attached (by aminoacyl-tRNA synthetases). tRNAs cope with the degeneracy of the genetic code in two manners: having more than one tRNA (with a specific anti-codon) for a particular amino acid; and 'wobble' base-pairing, i.e. permitting non-standard base-pairing at the 3rd anti-codon position. The record is from Rfam by way of RNAcentral. Lineage: Eukaryota; Metazoa; Chordata; Actinopteri; Salmoniformes; Salmonidae.